This is a non-coding RNA of Lenzites betulinus, 73 nucleotides long. The record is from the annotation of a GenBank genome assembly. Lineage: Eukaryota; Fungi; Basidiomycota; Agaricomycetes; Polyporales; Polyporaceae.
GGCCGGCUGGCUCAGCUGGUUAGAGCAUGGCGCUGUUGUGCCAAGGUCGUCGGUUCGACCCCGGCGCCGGCCA